CGGAGUAAAGUAGCUUGCUAUUUUACUUAGUGGCGCACGGGUGAGUAAUGUAUAGCUAACCUGCCCUUUAGUGGGGGACAACAGUUGGAAACGACUGCUAAUACCCCAUACUCCUUCUUAUCAUAAGGUAAGUUGGGAAAGAUUUAUUGCUAAAGGAUGGGGCUUUAUUGUAUCAGCUAGUUGGUGGGGUAAUGGCCUACCAAGGCGAUGACGCAUACCUGGUCUGAGAGGAUGAUCAGGCACACUGGAACUGAGACACGGUCCAGACUCCUACGGGAGGCAGCAGUGGGGAAUAUUGCACAAUGGGGGAAACCCUGAUGCAGCAACGCCGCGUGGAGGAUGACGCAUUUCGGUGUGUAAACUCCUUUUAUAAGGGAAGAUAAUGACGGUACCUUAUGAAUAAGCACCGGCUAACUCCGUGCCA
RNAcentral lists this ribosomal RNA (424 nucleotides) under uncultured bacterium. RNAcentral describes it as "bacterial SSU rRNA". It matches the Rfam family "Bacterial small subunit ribosomal RNA", at positions 67 to 510 of the family's 1533-position model. The record is from RNAcentral.